CACCGCGGUUAUACGAAAGACCCUAGUUGAUAGAUACGGCGUAAGGGUGGUUAAGGAAAUAAAAUAAUAAAGCUAAAGAUUUCCCAAACUGUCAUACGCCCCCGGAAAUACGAAACCCAAAUACGAAAGUAGCUUUAAACUAAUUCACCUGACCCCACGAAAGCUAAGAAACAAACUGGGAUUAGAUACCCCACUAUGCUUAGCGCUAAACCCAGAUGGUAAACUACAAACACAUCCGCCAGGGUACUACGAGCACAGCUUAAAACCCAAAGGACUUGGCGGUGUCUCAGACCCACCUAGAGGAGCCUGUUCUAGAACCGAUAACCCCCGUUAAACCUCACCACUUCUAGCCUUACCCGCCUAUAUACCGCCGUCGUCAGCUUACCCUGUGAAGGCCCAACAGUAAGCAAAAUGGGCUCGCCCAAAAACGUCAGGUCGAGGUGUAGCGUACGAAGUGGAUAGAAAUGGGCUACAUUUUCUAUAGAUAGAAUAUACGAAUAGCACCCUGAAACGAGUGCUUAAAGGUGGAUUUAGCAGUAAAAAGCAAAUAGAGUGUCCUUUUGAAUCAGGCUCUGAGACGCGCACACACCGCCCGUCACUCUCCCCCAUAUCACUAAUCAAAUAAUUCAUAAUAACAAAACCAUUCUCACGGGGAGGCAAGUCGUAACAUGGUAAGUGUACCGGAAGGUGCACUUGGAAUAAUCAGAGCGUGGCUGAG
This 718-nucleotide ribosomal RNA is filed under the name Liobagrus mediadiposalis (south torrent catfish). RNAcentral's name for it is "partial small subunit ribosomal RNA". It matches the Rfam family "Bacterial small subunit ribosomal RNA", at positions 513 to 1533 of the family's 1533-position model. The record is from RNAcentral. Lineage: Eukaryota; Metazoa; Chordata; Actinopteri; Siluriformes; Amblycipitidae.